GACGAACGCUGGCGGCGUGCCUAAUACAUGCAAGUAGAACGCUGAAGGAGGAGCUUGCUUCUCUGGAUGAGUUGCGAACGGGUGAGUAACGCGUAGGUAACCUGCCUGGUAGCGGGGGAUAACUAUUGGAAACGAUAGCUAAUACCGCAUAAUAGUAGAUGUUGCAUGACAUUUGCUUAAAAGGUGCAAUUGCAUCACUACCAGAUGGACCUGCGUUGUAUUAGCUAGUUGGUGGGGUAACGGCUCACCAAGGCAACGAUACACAGCCGACCUGAGAGGGUGAUCGGCCACACUGGGACUGAGACACGGCCCAGACUCCUACGGGAGGCAGCAGUAGGGAAUCUUCGGCAAUGGACGGAAGUCUGACCGAGCAACGCCGCGUGAGUGAAGAAGGUUUUCGGAUCGUAAAGCUCUGUUGUAAGAGAAGAACGAGUGUGAGAGUGGAAAGUUCACACUGUGACGGUAUCUUACCAGAAAGGGACGGCUAACUACGUGCCAGCAGCCGCGGUAAUACGUAGGUCCCGAGCGUUGUCCGGAUUUAUUGGGCGUAAAGCGAGCGCAGGCGGUUAGAUAAGUCUGAAGUUAAAGGCUGUGGCUUAACCAUAGUACGCUUUGGAAACUGUUUAACUUGAGUGCAAGAGGGGAGAGUGGAAUUCCAUGUGUAGCGGUGAAAUGCGUAGAUAUAUGGAGGAACACCGGUGGCGAAAGCGGCUCUCUGGCUUGUAACUGACGCUGAGGCUCGAAAGCGUGGGGAGCAAACAGG
RNAcentral lists this ribosomal RNA (763 nucleotides) under uncultured Streptococcus sp. RNAcentral describes it as "bacterial SSU rRNA". It matches the Rfam family "Bacterial small subunit ribosomal RNA", at positions 28 to 776 of the family's 1533-position model. The record is from RNAcentral. Lineage: Bacteria; Bacillati; Bacillota; Bacilli; Lactobacillales; Streptococcaceae.